This 465-nucleotide ribosomal RNA is filed under the name uncultured Klebsiella sp. RNAcentral's name for it is "bacterial SSU rRNA". It matches the Rfam family "Bacterial small subunit ribosomal RNA", at positions 338 to 795 of the family's 1533-position model. The record is from RNAcentral. Lineage: Bacteria; Pseudomonadati; Pseudomonadota; Gammaproteobacteria; Enterobacterales; Enterobacteriaceae.
CCUACGGGAGGCAGCAGUGGGGAAUAUUGCACAAUGGGCGCAAGCCUGAUGCAGCCAUGCCGCGUGUGUGAAGAAGGCCUUCGGGUUGUAAAGCACUUUCAGCGGGGAGGAAGGCGGUGAGGUUAAUAACCUCAUCGAUUGACGUUACCCGCAGAAGAAGCACCGGCUAACUCCGUGCCAGCAGCCGCGGUAAUACGGAGGGUGCAAGCGUUAAUCGGAAUUACUGGGCGUAAAGCGCACGCAGGCGGUCUGUCAAGUCGGAUGUGAAAUCCCCGGGCUCAACCUGGGAACUGCAUUCGAAACUGGCAGGCUAGAGUCUUGUAGAGGGGGGUAGAAUUCCAGGUGUAGCGGUGAAAUGCGUAGAGAUCUGGAGGAAUACCGGUGGCGAGGGCGGCCCCCUGGACAAAGACCGACGCUCAGGUGCGAAAGCGUGGGGAGCAAACAGGAUUAGAUACCCCAGUAGUC